UGGGGAAUAUUGCACAAUGGGGGAAACCCUGAUGCAGCGACGCCGCGUGAGUGAAGAAGUUAUUCGUAAUGUAAAGCUCUAUCAGCAGGGAAGAAAAUGACGGUACCUGACCAAGAAGCACCGGCUAAAUACGUGCCAGCAGCCGCGGUAAUACGUAUGGUGCAAGCGUUAUCCGGAUUUACUGGGUGUAAAGGGUGCGUAGGUGGCAUGGCAAGUCAGAAGUGAAAGGCCGGGGCUCAACCCCGGGACUGCUUUUGAAACUGUCAGGCUGGAGUGCAGGAGAGGAAAGCGGAAUUCCUAGUGUAGCGGUGAAAUGCGUAGAUAUUAGGAGGAACACCAGUGGCGAAGGCGGCUUUCUGGACUGAAACUGACACUGAGGCACGAAAGCGUGGGGAGCAAACAGG
This 404-nucleotide ribosomal RNA is filed under the name uncultured bacterium. RNAcentral describes it as "bacterial SSU rRNA". It matches the Rfam family "Bacterial small subunit ribosomal RNA", at positions 355 to 776 of the family's 1533-position model. The record is from RNAcentral.